GUCAUACACUGUUUGGUACCAAAUGGAGAUGGGCAACGCCUGUUUCGCCUGAACCGCCUCCCGCCACCGCAAACACCUGAUUGAUUCCUCAAAACCUUCACUCAAAACCCUAAACACCUGAUUCCUUGCUACCCACCAAACAAAAGAAAACCCAAUGACUUCGCUGCUUCAGACAGCCUCCCUUUCCUCUCUUUCUUCUUCUCGCUCUCUUCUUCCUAACCCCUCUUCCCGCUCUCGAAUCCCAUUCCCUAAAUGCAUCAGGUGUAGUGUGGGGGAGCCUUUGAAAUACGCGAAUGGGAAGCCAUGCAUUCCACUCCUCAGGGAUGAAAUGCUGCCGAAUUUUCUGACCAGGACAACGCAAGUCGUGAAUGCAGCUAGCAAGAAUGACACCAGGCUCCGGAUAUUUUCCGGAACUGCGAACCCGUCGCUUUCUCAGGAAAUUGCAUGCUACAUGGGUCUGGAACUUGGAAAGAUUAAGAUAAAGCGGUUUGCUGAUGGAGAGAUAUAUGUUCAGUUGCAAGAAAGUGUCAGAGGGUGUGAUGUAUAUCUUGUGCAACCAACAUGUCCUCCUGCAAAUGAGAAUCUAAUGGAGCUUCUGAUAAUGAUUGAUGCAUGUCGAAGGGCGUCAGCCAAGAACAUUACUGCUGUGAUUCCAUAUUUUGGAUAUGCCAGGGCUGAUAGAAAGACUCAAGGGCGUGAAUCUAUUGCUGCCAAACUUGUUGCAAAUUUAAUCACUGAAGCAGGUGCAAAUCGUGUUCUUGCGUGUGAUCUUCAUUCUGGUCAAUCGAUGGGAUAUUUUGAUAUUCCUGUGGAUCAUGUAUAUGGUCAGCCUGUGAUACUUGAUUACCUUGCCAGCAAGACUAUCUGUUCUGAUGAUUUGGUAGUGGUCUCACCGGAUGUUGGGGGUGUUGCUAGAGCCCGUGCUUUUGCGAAAAAGUUAUCUGAUGCUCCUCUGGCAAUUGUUGAUAAAAGACGUCAUGGGCACAAUGUCGCAGAGGUGAUGAAUUUGAUAGGUGACGUGAAGGGAAAAGUAGCCGUCAUGGUUGAUGACAUGAUUGAUACAGCUGGGACUAUUUCCAAAGGUGCAGAGUUACUACAUCAAGAGGGUGCCAGGGAAGUCUAUGCGUGCAGUACACAUGCUGUUUUUAGUCCUCCUGCCAUAGAGAGGCUGUCAAGCGGUUUGUUCCAAGAGGUGAUCAUAACAAAUACUAUUCCAGUGUCUGAGCAGAACUAUUUUCCCCAGCUAACUGUCCUGUCAGUGGCAAAUCUUCUGGGAGAGACCAUAUGGCGUGUACAUGAUGACUGUUCUGUGAGUAGCAUAUUUCAGUAAAAUUGGCUUCAUAUGAUUAGGAAUGAAGCUAGUUCAUUCUACCCUGUUACAUCAAACAAAUUCAAUUCUUUUUUUUAUUCAAUUGUAUAUGGUUGGCUUUUAUAAAGCCCUAUACUCCAUUCAACUGGUGAAAUGGAUCCUGUUGAAAUAGAAACACCUAUAUGAAGCCACCUCCAUUCUUCAGUGGUGGCUUUGAACCCUAUUCCACCUUGGGCAUUGAUUGAUCAAUUCAUGUUCGUGGUCUCCCUCCCAGCUUCCAUUACCGUCGAAGAGCUACCUUGUCUGGCACAUGUUUGUUAAUAGAAAAACACCUUUUUUUGUUUUUUUUUUCAAAACUUUGCAUAAUCUGAGGUUCAUAUGCUUGAAUUGAAUUACAUCUAGGACUAAUGGUAUCGCAUUUCCCUUACUCCCUUUUUGAGCAAGUGGUUGGUGAAUUGUAUUCUAUAUCUACAUAAACAGCAAAACUGUAUUCUGAUUCUCCAAUUUCCCUAUUAUACUAUGCUCGUGUUUCGUUUUGCCCCGAAUUAAAGAACUUCUACUUCA
RNA transcript from Rosa rugosa (rugosa rose), 1873 nucleotides. It is a transcript of the gene named ribose-phosphate pyrophosphokinase 1-like, with no coding region annotated. NCBI's taxonomy places the organism in Eukaryota, Viridiplantae, Streptophyta, Magnoliopsida, Rosales, Rosaceae. The record is from RefSeq and is a predicted model, not a curated record. The transcript has 9 exons.